Molecule: signal recognition particle RNA, 266 nt
Filed under: bacterium
Lineage: Bacteria
Description: signal recognition particle sRNA large type
Rfam family: Bacterial large signal recognition particle RNA
About the family: The signal recognition particle (SRP) is a universally conserved ribonucleoprotein involved in the co-translational targeting of proteins to membranes. Archaeal SRP consists of a 7S RNA and homologues of the eukaryotic SRP19 and SRP54 proteins.
Source: RNAcentral
UCGUGCUAGACGGGGAGGUAGCGGUGCCCUGUACCCGCAAUCCGCUAUAGCGGGGUCGAAUUCCCGAUUGAGGAAGUGUUGUCUCCGAGUGAUCGGUGGUGAGAAGUGGUGAUGAUGGUCAGGUCCCGCGCAAUGGGAACCUGUCAACCCCGUCAGGACCGGAAGGUAGCAGCGGUACACAGACCUUCCCAUGUGCCGCGGAUUCACCUGGCAGGAGCUAACCUCAUCGUUGGAGCCGGGGGCACCUUUCGAGAUCGGGUGCACGA